CACCUGUGACGUCAGUUUCAUACGGGACUGCCGCUUCGCCACAGAGUUUUUGGCGGGAAAAUUUGUAAUGUUAAUUGAGAAGACAAGACGGCGCCAAUUACUUCGUGUCAUGAAAGGGCAUUUUUGUUCACAAAUAUCCGCUUAUUUUACGUUAUAGCGACUUGUUAGAUUUGGAAACUAUAACUCAAUGGACGGGGAAAAAGGAUUGUGUAGUAAAGAGAAAAAUACGUGCAGUCAUUGACUUACUGUGAUGUUAAAUGUUUGUUGUGAAAUUAGACGGCCG
Paramuricea clavata is the source of this 283-nucleotide non-coding RNA. The record is from the annotation of a GenBank genome assembly. Lineage: Eukaryota; Metazoa; Cnidaria; Anthozoa; Malacalcyonacea; Plexauridae.